ACUAUUAUAAUUUAUUAAGAUGCUACAUUACUAUAAUAUUAGUAAAAUAUUAGUAUUCAAUCGACUAAAUUGGACAGUAGGAUUUAACUGUAAUAAUUUAAAAAUAUUGAGCUGGAAACUGCAACAAAUUAAAUCUUGAUGACCAAAGUAUCACGAGCCGGGAGUUUGAGGACCAAAAGUGCAAUUUACCCUUGUAUGUGAGAGAUAAUACUUAUUCAAAGGAGUGAUGCUCACACAAGGCUCAAGCAGCUAUAUUUUUGCAUUGAAAGAGUCCCUAUAUUGACCCACAGUUAAAAAGGAAAUUACUUUAACGCAGGUUGCCAUUUGAGUUGUUGUCACUUGUUGACAUGUACAGAAACAAGGGAAAUACCUGCUGGCCUGGGCACAUUCAUGUCAUACGGCAGUGCGAAUAUACGAAUGACUUAACCUCGAAACUCCCAUACUUUACAAAGGUAUGUGAGAAUACUCAUGCAGGCAAAGAAUGCCAAACUAGAAUACCAAACUUGCAUCAGGGUCUAGUAUGUUCCACAUGGAUUUGCUCCUUUUCCCUUUAAUUUCUCUCUCUCUCUCUCUCUCUCUUUGUCCCUUUUUUCUUUUCUCCUUUUGUUUUACCAUUAUGCUUGCAAUCUCCAGACAUUCCUAACUGUACUUUUGUCUUCUUCUCCCACCUCCAAAGAUCCCAAAAGCCAUCUUGGACCGUCAACUCCCCAUUCCUCUUAACAAAGAAUUGUCUAUUCUUCAGUAUUUGCUACUUGAUCCAGUUUUUGAUUUGCGCCAUUUAAUUUGGAGUGAAAUCUUCCCUCGAGUACCUGCGGCACUCUUGUCAUCCGGGGGUCGCAUUUGAAUCUAUAAAACGAUAUUCGAUCUAAAGCCGCGAAAUCGUAAAGCAAGCGGACUCCUUUGCAAACUGGCCAAGCAUCUAUAUCUAUCUCUCUCUCUCUCUCUCUCUUUAGUUUCCUCAAAGCUAAGCCUUGAGAGUUGGGCUCAAAACCAUCUUCACUCCGACCCAGACCUCGAUCGAACCGUUUGCUUGUUUAUACCUACUCUGCUCUUUCCUUUGUAAAAAGCAAAGUGAAAGAAGAUCAUUCCUCAAGUGAUCUGUGGAAUCUAUGGACCCACUUUGUCCCCCUCAUCCUACCCUUCUCUUUUUCUCAUGACCACCUCCUGGUGGUACGUAGUUAUGUAGGCUAGCCCAGAUGUACUAUUUAUGCUUUCUCUCUUUGCUUGCUGAGUAUCGUUCAUAUAUUUGGCACAAGCUUUCAUGCCUCUUUGUUCUUCUCUUCUUCCUUCGUCGACUCCGAGCGCUAAUUUUCUCAUUCUUGAGUUUCUACAUGGAGGUAUGCCCUUAACUCUUCAAAUCCCUUAUGGUUUCCUUUAUAACAUAGAUUUUGUCCGAACCCGUCUCCUAUACUUUUGUUCUUGGCUACACAUUGAAUCGAUUUUAUCCAAAAAGCUAGCUACUUGAUGGAUUCUUGACUUUUGCAAGUUGUGUAGAAUGAGAUUAUGAAUAGAAGAGCCUACAUUCUUUAUCCUUCUUCCGCUUGUUACUAUCUCAAAGCUUCUAUAUGAAUUGCAAAUCUUAUGAUCCUCUUGAUUCCUGGUCUCCAUUGUUCCACCUCGUAGUGUUGUACUUCGACAAUGUCCUCUCUUUUAGAAACUUGCCUUUGGCAUAGAAUAGUAGACUCAUUUGCCUACAACUAGGAGAUACUCCGAAUGAUUGGUAUUACAAUAUUAUGCACUCAUUUAUUUAUAUUCAUGUUCCCUUAAUGAUGUAUCGACAGAAUAUUUUAGACAAAGCAGGGCCCCUACUCUUGACUAGUAAGGUGAUGAACAAGAUAAAUCACUCAAAUACGUUGCUACCAAUUUGAUCUAAGGUGUGAACUUAUUCAAAGUCAUCAAGCCAUUUGAGAAUUCACAAUAGGGUUCAAUAAAACUACUGGUGUUGGAAUGUCAAUUCAUGCCACCCUGUUACCUAGUUCUUUGGCCCACCAAUUUGUCUGUGUGCACCGAUGAUUCUUUGUUUUUGAAAAAAAAAAAAAAAUGUUUGGUAAAAAAAUGUAAUUUUUAAGCUAAUUAAGUUUCUUGUAAUGCCAAUAAUAACUAUGAGCUGCAGACUAUUGAGCUGAAGGUGGACAUGGUUGCACUGCAUGAGAAGAGAGUGAGGAAAUGCCUAUCUAAAGUAAAAGGUAAAAGUGACCUCCCAAGCACACCCUGGAAUAGUACUAUAACUUGUUGCUUACUCCUACCACUAUUUAAUUCCUUCUUUUGAUCUCUUCCACAUUAAAGAAAUACUUUGUAAUACACUCAAAAAAAAAAAAAAAAAAAAAACUUUGUAACAUUAUUUGUGAGGUUAUUACUAUUCACAGGGAUAGAGAAGGUUGAAGUAGAAGCAAGCAUUCAGAAGGUAACAGUCACAGGAUAUGCAAACAGGAACAAGAUACUCAAGGCCCUGAGAAGAGUGGGAUUGAGAGCAGAGUGUUGGUCUCCACAAAAUGAGAUACUCAGUGCCUAUGCAACUGGAACCCUAAUGUUCAACAACUUCAACUUCUUUUGAGAAACCCAAAAUAGUCGCAUGUCAAAUAAUACCUACCAUUUGUUUGGUUGUUUGUGUCGCCUUCUUCUUUUUAUGGUGUUUUGCGGAGUAACCUUGCAUAUGUUUGUGAUUAUAGUGUCAAAAGUUGAAAGUAAAAUGUUCUUUUCAAGCCAAAACUAUUUUGAUUUGUUGUGUUCAGAUGUGCAGAAGAUGUAAUAUACGGACUGUAUUGUAUUUUCUUCUCCGGAAAAGGUUAGGAUUUUAGAGGGGAAAGAGAGGAUGAUGAAUCAACAACAUUUUAUUAGUUUCUCGGUGUUUGUUGUGUUACGCAAAAUUCGUCAACAUAUAAAACAUGUUGACCAUGAAAACGGGAAGAAGAAAUUUGAGAGAAAAAGAAAAGAGAAGAAAACAAUAAGCACAUUUAAUUAUUAUUCCUCGCCUUAUAUGUGGACUUGUAAAAUAAAAAAAAAUGGCUCGGCUCUGAAGCCUAUAUUCUGGGUCUUUGAAGAGGGACCAAAGAUUUCACUGUAAUAAAAAAUUACAAGUGCUUUGGUCUGCUAGCUAGAGAAGAAAAUAACUAUAAAUAUUGUUGAUAUAUUUUCUUUCUAGUAAAAUUAUUCUAGCUCAACUCCACAUACUAGUCCCCGCCACCGACGCUUUCGUUCGUAGAAUGAUUUUGUAAAAGUGCUCUAGGUACCACAAAGACAUCAAGAAUUUGUGCGUCUCCUAAAAUAUAAAAUAACAUUAUCAUAACAUGCGCCAGAUAUUUACAUAACAGAUUAGCUGAAAACAUAAAAAUACAUUAGGCAUUGUAUAUUUGUAUUGUGCAUAUCUUCAAUCGCAAACUAUUGGACUGGGCUGGGCCUAUUCUUCAGCCCAUCUGGGCAGGCCCAGACAUUUUAGACCGGGCUCGGAGUCAUUGAGAGUAUAAUUCUGAACCAGGCCCGGCCCAGCCCGGCCUGCCCCGGCCCGAUUUUUCGUCGCAUGAACUCACCCCGUGUUCGCUCGUUCCUCGCCCGCUUCGACCUCUCCGUGUUGGAACUUGGAAGAAGCAGCAGAGGAGGAGGAAGGGAGGAAACGAGGGACGCUCUCGUGUGGAGCAUCAGGGUUCGACAUGGGGGAAUUAGAGGCUGAGAAGCACGUCCAAUACAUCCUCUCCGUCGAGAAGGUUAAUUAUUAUUAUUAUUAUUAUUAUUUUUCCCUUCGCAUCUCUUCUUUCUAUCUGAAAUCGUUGGUAGAGGAAGAAAAAAAAAAAAUUGUGAAUUUUCUCUCAGCGCAAGGACGAUUUCGAGUCCUUGCUGAUGGAGCAUCUCCGAAUCAACGGCGCGUAUUGGGGGCUCACCACUCUCGACCUGCUCCGCAAGAUCGAGGCAGUCGAUUCGGACGAGGUGGUGUCGUGGGUGAUGAGUUGCCAGGAUCAGGAUUGCGGUAAAUCCCCAAAUCAGUCCCAUCUCAGAGAAAACAGAAAACGAAAAAAAAAAAAAAAAAAUCAGAUUUUGGCCCCAAAAGAGCAAUUUUUAGGUUGUUUUGUUCUAAUUGGGAAGAGAAUCAUUACAUGGGGCGUGUUUGUGCUUUUUGUGUGUGUGUGUAUUUAAUUUACAGGUGGGUUCGGUGGGAAUGUUGGGCAUGAUGCGCACCUGCACUACACUCUCAGUGCUGUCCAGAUCUUACUUCUCUUCGACCGCCUCGAUAUUUUGGAUAUCGACAAGGUCUCGGAUUGUAUCCUUGUUUGUGGAUUAUAUGUCUUGGAAUCUGAGGAAGCUUUUUUAAUGUCUUUAGUGAAUUUUUGAUGAUCUGCAGCGGUUAAGUUUUGUGUGUAAUUUUGGAUUAAUCAAUAUUUCAAUAUUGCUUGGCAUAUAUGACAUCGAUAAACCCUAAACAGUGACUGAACCGUGAGAAUGCCAUCAGUAUAUUGAUCCAAGUUUUUAUUAGGCUUUUGACUUUCGUCUGGAGUUACUUUCGGCACUGACUAUGUUAAAAAAUAGGGUUCUGUGUUGAUGUUAUAUAGUUUACAUGUUGGAAUCUAAACUUGUUGAUCAAUGUAAGUGAUGGAGAAAAGCUAAUCACUAACGAUUCUUUCUCGAAUUCAUGCACAUCCACCAACAUAGGUAUUUCUGAUUUGAAAUUUAUGUAUGUAAACACAAUUUUUUUCACUUUGGUUGGAUGAUUCUUUAACUGUGGUUGGAUCUAAGCUCACCGAAUAUGUUACUGCCACAGCUCGUCAUUUUUACAUUCUUGUCUGUUAUUGUUGAACUGGCUUUCAUCGAGUUGUAACAGAAGUUUCAUCUAUUUUCCGCUUUUUUCAAUGUUGGUCAAUAAAGGAUUCAACUUUUUCUCUCUGUUGUUUCACUUAAAACACUUCAGACGUUGCCGGGCUACAGAAUGAAGAUGGGUCUUUUUCUGGCGAUAUCUGGGGUGAAGUUGACACUAGGUAAAGUGCUUUUGCUAUCAGAUUUCCCUUUUUGUUUUUCCACAGUUUCACAGCUUAUUCAGAAGCACUUAAUGCAGCACUCCUUGUCCAUAGGUUCUCAUACUGUGCAAUAUGCUGUCUCUCGUUACUGCAUCGUCUGGAUAAAAUUAAUGCGGAAAAGGCUGUAGAUUAUAUUGUGAGCUGCAAAAACUUGGAUGGUGGAUUUGGAUCUAUACCUGGAGGGGAGUCUCAUUCUGGGCAGAGUAUGUUCAACCUUGUUGUCACCUAAUUAAGAUAACACGUAGCAUGUUUCCGUUCUUUAGUUAACUAUGCACACUAGUACUAGCAGUUCAUGGUAUAUGUAAUCAGUGGGAUAGUUCGAUUAUUCGGAGAACCAACAGAAAUGACAAUAAUUAUUCAAAUGUUAGUUAAAUAUGUAGUCCCCUAUAUUUCAGACCCAAUUUCAGUUAUGGCUCCCCUUUUUGCAAAUUUGUUAAUGAAUUUUGACCUUGGUAACAGUUAAGACCUUGUCUCUACAGUCUGAAAAAAAAUACUAGCCAUAUAAGCAUUUAUCGCUAGAGUUUGAAUAAUAUGGCUGUUCUCUUGAGGUCUCAAUUUAUUGAUGAUCUCGACAUGGUGUUUUCCAUAGACGGCACGCUAGCGGAUCACUAUGCUCAAUGAACCUAUGGAUUGAAUUGUUAAAGAAUAAUACUGUGAGCAGGUGACUGAAAUCUGGAUCAAACUUGAGGAACUAGACUAGAACCGUUGUUAGAAAUUAUCAUUUUCUUCAUGUAUUCUUUUUCUGUUCUCCAGUACUUGUCAAUUUUCUAAAUAAAUUGGUUCAACAUUUAAAUGGCAGUCUUCUGCUGUGUUGGUGCUCUUGCAAUCACUGGUUCUCUGCAUCAUGUUGAUAGAGACCUCCUCGGCUGGUGGCUGUGCGAGCGCCAGUGUAAAGAUGGUGGACUAAAUGGCCGGCCCGAGAAGCUUGCUGAUGUGGGACCCUCUUUGAACCCUUAAAUUCGUAGGUAGAUCUUGAAGUUGCUUUCUCCAUUCUAUCAACUAAGACAAUUUCUAUCUUCUUAGGUUUGUUAUUCUUGGUGGGUCCUAUCAAGCUUGACAAUGAUCGACAGAGUGCACUGGAUCGAUAGGGAGAAGCUGGCUGCAUUCAUUUUAAACUGCCAGGUUGUUAAUUCCUCUUAUUACACCCAUUUUAGCAGCUGCUAAUUACAUCUGAACUGAACCUUCCGGAUUCUUUUUCCAACAUUUUUCGCGUAAUACAGGAUAGGGAAAAUGGAGGUAUUUCAGAUAGGCCAGAUAAUGCAGUAGAUGUUUUCCAUACCUACUUUGGGGUGGCAGGUACUAAAUUUCCUCAGUCUUUUUAAACUUUAUGUACUCAAGACUUGCACCAUGUCACGACGAUUUUUCCGUUCUUUUAGAUUAUUUUUGGUUCAUGCCUAAGGCCUAAUAAUAUGAAUUGUUAAAAACAGGGCUUUCUCUGCUGGAAUAUCCUGGACUGAAGCCUAUUGAUCCUGCCUAUGCCUUACCAGUUGAUGUUGUCAAUCGAAUCUUCUUUGGAAAAUAAUAAGUUCCCUUGUUGAUGAGCUCUCCUAUUAUUGUUCCCCCCUUAAAUGAGAAUAUGGGGAGCCUGUUGAUGCUAGAGAUAGUUGCAGUUCCUGUUUCCAGCCAACCAUUGACAUCCCUGCGACCCUGGAAUGUAUAGCCCAGGGUUAUAAUCAGGAUGGCAAGCACAAGAAAAUCCUCGGAAGAUCAAAAUAGGAUGUUAAACUAGCAAAUCAAUUGCUUUCGCCCUGUUAAUGAGAUUAUCAAACAUUUUCAGCCGAUGGUGGUUCCAAUCUUCUUUGGUUUGUUUCUAUUGUUUCCAAAUCAUGUCCUCCUGUAAGAGCCUUGCAGAGUACAGGUUUGCAUGGUAAGCGAAGAAAGAGUUGUUGAAUUUUAUAGAGAUUUUAUGUUCUGUCAGUGUACAUCCGCUCUAAUACUUUAGGCGAUCAAAAAAAUAAAAUCACUCAUUAUUCUUUUUCGUAAUGUUGGCGGAAACAGUCGCUUCUCUGCAGUUCCACCGCCAUUUCUGGGCAUCCGAGUCUCCAAUACUUUCCAAAAAUAGAGUAUUAGAGGAGCAAAAAUAAUAGUAAUAAAAUCACCAUAUGUGCUCUUCCUAGGAAUUUCAGAUAGAUACAAGUAACUACACGGAACAGAGACAUAAUGUUACUUGGAACGUUUCAAUACAACUGCUUCAGACGAGCAAUAACCAUCAUCCUACCUUAAUGAGCAAAGAAGAAAUACACCAUGGCUAGAAACAUACGAGCUAAAGUUUUCAUCUCCUUAAACACUAGAGCGAAAAAAGCGGCUACAAAGAUAAGGGAAGUCGCUGACUAUUCCCCAGCUAAAACAACAGCUAAAGUUUACAGAGAAAGAAGGAAAGGCGGCUUCUCGGUGCGCCGGAGAUGCCGACGAUCUAUAUGAGGUGAGGAGGGAUAAGUUAAUUAUUUCCAUGGCAUGCUGGAUAAUCCGUGCUGGCUGCUAUUAUUCAUUGUGCCGGUGCUUUGAUUGAGCGGGCUUCCCGGGCCACCGCCUGAGGAUUCACUCAGUGUGCCUCUCGAGGGCGGGCUACCGCCCCCUGCGGGCCCAACACCGCCGUAGGGGCUGGCAAACUUCCCAGGGGCAGACGCCGGUUCUGAAGGAUUACUCUGCUGCUUUGGCUCUUUCUUUCCAUCAGCUAUGAAGCUCCCUACUACGACCUGAAAAAUUAUAGCCAUCCAAGUCGAACCAUGAAGAUUAUAAAUUGUGCCAAGUUCUACGAAGACAAAUUGCAGGUUAUAAUGUGUAUUCCAUAAAAUGCUGCGUUUCAUCAGGGUAAGUAGUAACUAACAAGAAGCAACACCGUUUCCCAGAUCUUUCACAAAAGUAUAAAUAAAUACAAAGACAUGAAAAAAAGGAUUUCUGAGGGAAAAAGGCAGCUAAAACUUCCCUGAUAGAAAUAUAAUCAAAAUUAACAUCUAACAAAUUUCAACUAGAAAAUAAGGAACUAGAUAAAAAAACGAAUCUAGGGUUGAAUAAAAGAACAUGCAAAGAACAUGCAAAAGUCCAGUAUGAAUUAGCUCCAAAAUACAGAAGAAACAGACCUGGACAGGUGAUGCCGCAGUCAAAAGACCUGCAACUCCGCCCCCUAGGACACGGCCAUCCGGUCCCGCCAGUGAAACACUCAGCCCGCCUGUUCGACUACGCUGACCACCACUUUCCGAUAGAAGAAAUGAGCCCGACAACGACAAGAUCUCAAACCGGCCCUGCACAUGAAAUAUUGAAGAAACUAUAACAAUAGUAAACGCGGACAAUAAGUCUAUAACACCGCAUCCCCCCUUAAGCCCGAAAUCCUAAACAGUAGUAAACGCAGACAAAAGAAAAAAAACACAUUUCCAUCAUAAAAUACUAUGAAAUUCAACAAAAUAGGCAAUAGCUUUCAAGCAAAGGAAAAUUCUUGCCAUCAACUAAAAAGCAAAAGUUCAAAACAGAAGCUAUAAUUUUACAAUAAUGGAGAAUUUAAUAAAUGAAUGUGAUUUCAUCAGCAUCAGUUCAAAGCACAAACCUCAUAGGUUACAGUCCCACCAGAAGUUGCAGCUUGCCGAAGUGUAACAUUUGAUAUAGCACCAUUUGCUGAGAGAAUACAAACUGCACGUGGUCCAUGCUGAGAAAAUGACAUAAUCUUUGCCGAUACAUCCUGAAAAGAUGAGUCCGAGCAUUUUAUUAGCACAUUAUUUUUUUUGCAAGUACAUGAUCUAGAAGAGAGAAGUUGAAACUGAUAUACAAGAUAUAGAUUUAUUUCCAAAAUAAAUAGUAUCAACUGGGGAUAGCAUUAGCUUGGCUUAUAGAAGCAAAAACGUAGCCCCAAUUUAAAAUUGAGGAAAAGGUAGCUGCACUCCAGGGCAAGUUAAAAGUCACUAGGACACUAGCAUGUUUUUCUUUCCCCUUCUACUUAAACAAACAUGAAGGAAGAAAAAAAAAUAGAAGCUACAUACAAAGCUAGACACAUACAGAAGCCUUCAGUACUUGCGUGUCGCAGCAGAUUUCCCAACAUAAAAAAUAGUCUAAAACACUACACAUAUGAUUGGCAUACCUCUCCAGCCUUCACCGUAAUAACAUGGGGUGUAAAUCCAAUCCCAGCUGAUCCUGCAAAAUGUUUUACAGCAAAAGAUGAAAACUAUAAAGCCAUAAAUAGAUUCAUUAUUUCUUCAGGAAACUCUGCCACUAAUUAUGUAAUUCGAGGAAAUAGCAUGCAAUUAUCAAAACUCAGGAAAUUACAAGGCAGGGAGAGCAAAUUAAAGCCAAACUUUACGACAUCUCAAAAUCAGGACUUACCUAUAAGGUUGUAAACUGGGCAGAGAGAGAGAGAGAGAGAGAGAGAGAGAGAGAGAGAGGACCUACCAAUAUAGUUAUUUUACUAUAUUCUAUAACUAAGAAAUGAAGGCAACUAUUACCUGCGAGUUGGUAAAUCCAACACUACUAGUUUACUUUCAGAAGGAAGAAAGAAACCACACAAAAAGCCUAAGCUUUUUGUAUUGAUCCGAUAAAACAGAUCAAUAUAUUAUCUGUUCGAACAUGCAAUUAACACGUCAUUGCCAAUUAAGAAGAAAGCUUUAAACUUGCACUGCAGAUUCAUGCGUUCAACAACAAAACAGUAACAAACACUUUCGGGAAAACUUCGACAAACAAUUCAUUGGAUCUGUCAUUUAAUUCAGGUAACCAAUCCUGGAAAACGCCCAGCAUUCGCUAGUUAUAACAAGAAACCGAGGGCAUAAGGGUAAUUUCCUAGCAGUUCAUCCCUCCAUGCUGGAUCUACCAAGAAUACUCGAGGUUCCAGCUCAUCCAAACAAACAACUUGCUUUUAACCCCGCACUCUGACAACAGUAAACUCUCUCUUACAUUAUCAAAACCUCCUCUUUUUUCUUUUUUCUUUUUUCUCUUUUCAAAUAAUCAACCUACUGUAGUAAAAACACAUAAACAACUGCAUCAAAAAGAACCAUCCAACUCAUUAGCCAUGGCAUUUAAAAGGCAGCAAUCAUAAAUAGAUGAUGAUGAUGAGCAGGAGGAGGAGGUGGAGGGGGAUUACCCAAAGCUGCCAUCUGGCGCUUCCUGCCCGAACCUGGAGGCCUCCCCCUCACCUUCUUCAUCAAGCCCUGCGAGGCCGCCGCCGCCCCACCGGAGGACGGAGAGAACAUGCCACCGCCGCCCGGCGGAUGAGCCGCCGCGGCGGAUGUUACGGGAGCGGGGGCGAGAGCGAGAGCCAUGGCGCCGUCGGGCCCGUACUUCCUCGGCCUCCCGCGCUUCCGCUUCACCGGCUCUCCUCCUCCUCCUCCUCCUCCUCCCAUGUUGAUAGUGAGCCCGUGCGACGAGAGCGUCGGCGAGGUCCCGUCGCCGGCGGGGCCGUACAGCGGAGGCGACGGGGAGGAGGCCGUUGUGAUCGGCUUGUAGAUGGCCGUCCCAUCGGGGGCGUAGGCGAGCCGCAUGCUCUGCAUCGACGGCUGCGAUUGGAUGGGGCUUUUCUGCAUGGUCAUGUUGAAGGGUUCCCGACCCGACAUCAUCCCUUGCUCCGAUCUCACCUCCAUGAGCUCACACACUAGACUCUGCACACCAUUACCCAGCAAUUCCCACUCCAGGAAACCCUAACACCCGCGAUUUCCAAUCGCUUCCUUUUUUACGGAAAUUACAACAAAGAACAACGCAAGCGGCUACAGCAUCACAACCAGCAAUUUUACAGUACCCACAGUAACGAGGAGCAUGAAGGGGGACCAAAAAAAAAAAAAAAAAAAAAAANGCUAUGAUUAAAUUUGUUAAAGUAAUUAACUUAAGUUUUUAACUAAAAGAAUCAUUAAAUUACUUAAAUCAAAAAAACUAAAAUAUUGAAUAAUAAAAUCAAAAUUUUAAGAUGUUAGAUAAUAGAAUCAAAAUAGUUUAUACUUUAGAUAAGUUAUUUAUGUUUUUACCAAUAAUAUAUUGUAGUUGUAAUUUAGGGAAGGACAAAAAAAAAAAAAAAGAAAAAAAAGAAAAAAAAAUCCUAACCCGAGAACAAAAUUAACAAGAAAAAAUAUAAACCCUAAUUAAGACUAAGCACAAAAAUCAAAGAAAUUAGAGAUCUUCGUCUCUCAAAAAUUCCUUUUUUUUUCAAUUUUUACCAUAAAUUUUCCGAAAAUCACAGAAAUUUAGGAGAAAAGGCUGAGAAAAACGGAAAAAUCGAGAAAAAAGAAGGAAAAAAACAGAAGCUUUUGGUAAGAAAAAAAAGAAACCCUACCACCAUUUGUCGGAGAGCUACCCAAAGAGUCUCCAAAUACCACACACAAGCGGAGAAAUUAGGGCAAAUCCCAACCCCCAAAAUAUAUUUCUCCUCAACUUUUUAUAGAUUUUCUUUACACUCCUUUCUUUUUUCUAUUUUUUAUAUUAUAAGGAGGGGCUUUUAUUAAAAAUUGGGCGAGUAAAAAGGCAGCUAAAGCAGACCAAAUUUGCUUUCACACCCAUCAUAAUAAUAGAAAAUGAAAAGAGCCAUCAUAUAUUGUAAUGAAUUACAUUAAGACCCUCAGAUACUGUUUAAUUACCAGUUGCCAUCGUCCGGUCUGAGUAAUUUUCCUCUGUCUGAGGGACCAAAUUGUCUAUGUGAGGGACCAGAGUCACUAGCUCACUUCUUGGAUGUUACUUCUUUACGGAAAAGGAAAAGCAAAACAAAAAAAAAAAAUCACGAUGCUUGUAACAAAUGCAACCAUAAAGCUCUACUUAAAAUCAUGUGUAUCUCGAUCAAGCAGGUUUUCCUUCAAAAUUUCUAAUCAUUAUCUCUACAGCAGAAAUAUAUAUAUAUAUAUAUAUAAUCACAAUUUUUUAUUUUUAAAUCUAUAAUUAUGUUUCGAUUUUUAGUUGUUUGAAUGGUGACUAUUAUUUUAACAAUAUAGUUCGAAUUCUGCCCUUUUUUUUUGUACUCUUGAGAUUCAUACUGUCUCACUCUUGUAAUUUAAUUUAUCACUCUAAUGAAUAAAGCGGAUAGUAUGUUAUUUUUUAAAAAAAAUAAAAAAUCUACCCAACUUUAAGUUAUGAAACCGGAUUUCUCAAAUAAAUGAAACAUAUAUCAGAUUUAAAUCAGGAAAUUAAUGUUAUCACAUCCGACCCGGUUGACUUCUCGUAUUGGAUUCCGGCCGGGAUCCAUGAAAAAGAUGAGAAAGAAAGAUUAAGCAAGUCAUAUGAGAUCCCCACGAAAAUUAAUGUAAUAAUUUAAGUUUGUAGAGCGAGUGUGGUGGCAUCAUCCUUAUCUAUGCCACCUGUUAAGCUUUAAAACUUUAAUACAAAGCUAAAGGCUUUGACUGUUGUUUCAAACUUAUCAGGCCAAGUUGGUAGUCCAACCUAACAUCUCCUCGCUUUGUUGAAUAAUAAUACGCGUAUGAACGUAGCAAAUGUUCUCCCCAAAUUAAGCAAUUUGGUAAUCAUAAAUGCACAUUGAUGCGCAAGAGGAUUAAUAAUAACAAAUAAGUUUUGCUCUCUGUGAAUGAUUCCACGGCGACUAGUUUGUCGACAAAAAUGCAUUCCAUGUAAUUUAUUUCGCGAUGGAUACCUGACAAUAUUGAAUACUACAUGCCGUAAUAUAUUAUUGCGAGAGUCUGACUUUUUAGGCGUGACAUUAUUAUACUAGCGACCACCAAGCUUAUCCUAUAAAUAAGUAUGUUUAUACUAGGAGCACCAAGCUUAUCCCAUAAAUAAGUAUAUUUAUACCGGUAUAAAGUAUACUAUUUAAUAGUUCUUUUAUUUUAUUUUAUGUAUGUAUACAUAUAUAUAUAUAUAUUGGCACGAAUAGUGCCACACAUGCAUUCCCGAGAGAGAGAGAAAAACCCCACUCGCUCGAUCUAAUAAUAAUAAUAAUAAUAAUAAUAAUAAUUCAGAUGAUGGAGUGGAAUCUUUUGGGCAGCUGAGAAAAGGACGAGAGUUAAACAAGUCUUUAGCAAAAGCCUCGGAAAUCAAUAGAUUGGAGGAAAAAGAAGUAAAGGGCGGGGGAAAAUCAAAGGCUUAUCCUGGGAAAAAGUCACGCGUAGGUGCUCGCCCCCUCUCGGUUAGGUACCAAACCACGAACAAAAAGAUACCAUACCCGGAUAUAUACCCCUCACCUAUCCAAAUUAAUUUUUUUUUAAAAAAAAAUCAAAUUAAAAUAAAUAAAUAAAUAAAUUAUAGAGAAAAUACUUUCCUAUAUUUUUCAGCCUACAGCUCAGUUACCCUUUUUUAAUUCAGUUUAAUAUUUCUUUCUUACUUUUACAAAGUUUUAAAAUUUGAGAUAUUUUAUAGUUUUUUUAGAUUGAAAGUUUUACCGAAAUAAAUUGAUGAAUGAGACUAGCUAAGAUCCGAAUUAAUAUUGUAUUUAAUUUUUACAUCAAAGUAACAUUUUAAAAUAAAUAAAAUAAGUUGGCAGAAAUUAAAAUUAAUAUAAUUAUAUAUAUAUACAGGCAUUUUAAAAUUUUUAUUAUUAUAUAUAUAUAUAUUAGUUAGGUAAUAUACCAACAAUUUUUUAAUACAAAUAUCAUCAUUAUCAUAUAUAUAUAUAUAUUGCAUGGCCACAAAGCAUUUGCUUUUGAUAAUUUAACCGGGAAAUAAACCGUUCUAAUUAAAUUAGACAAACAUAUUCCCGGUUAGAUAUGAUGGACGCGAUGUUUGGCCAGUUGGGGGGUUGGGGUGUUUGCUUACGUGUAAAUCAUUUUCAAUUUUCGCUCGUUAAAGAAAUGGGUGGGAAAAGCAUGGGAUUUGACGUCCAAUGGGAGAAGACAAGUGCCCAUGUGACACCCCACCCCCCUCUCGUCUUUCAUCAUCUCAUGAGCUACUCCGGUUGGUCCUACAAACGACAUUAUCAUCCUUUGCUUUUUCUCUUUCUUUUUUUCUUUCUUUCUUUCUUUUGAGUUCCCCUGUUCAAAAUAAAAGGUCUGUUUGGCUUUAGCCUUUAGCUGUAGGUGCUUUGCAUCAGUUCCUCAAGCGCAAAAAAAAUAAAAUAAAAUAAAUAAAUAAAUACUACCAGUUUUAUUAAUAAAAUAAUUUCAGAAAAAAUAAAAUAAAUUUUUCAACACCCGCCAUCCCUUUAAUACAAAUGAUAAAAAAUUAAUAAUUGACAUUUGAGAUCUCAAUUUUGAAAUAUAGUUACUUCACACUUUUAUCUAAGUUUAUUUUUAAAAUAAUAAAUAAAGCGGAUAAUUUUUUUUUUCUAAAAAAAUUCAACAAAAGCAAAAACAGGAAUUUUUUUUAAAAAAAAAAAAAUUUGAGUGAGGGGGGGCGGCGGGGGGAGGGGCGGGAAAUUUAACCAGCCAAAGUUUCGCUUUCGAGGCCAAGAAGACUACUCUGAUAACUUCUUUUGGGUUCCCGAAUCUUUUGUUAUCAUGAAAACCCUUCUUGAGCCCUUACAAGGCUUGACUUCUUGAGAAUUUUCUUUUCCUUCCCAGAAAGUCCCCCAGUCGAAGAGAAGAGAAGAAAGAACACGCCCGCCCUAACUGCGCAUUAAUACCCGACAAAAUAUAUCUACGUGACCAAACAGUUACCGUCAAUCUUUUACAUUUAUAUAUUCACGUGAUUGAGAGACUUCAACAAUCAGCAAGCUAGUUUUGUGAGGUUUUUAUAUAAAUUAUUACACUUCCCGGAGGAGUCAACGAGAAGGCUUUCAACGGAAUGAAAACAACUUUUUUUAAAAAAAAAUAAGUACAAUACUUUGUAAUCUUCCUUGCAGCAGCAAAUUAAAAGAUCCGGAAACAGAACUUGAGAAAAGCUGAAGACGUUCAAUGUAGCGGGGAGAGAGAGACGCAAACAAAUAUAUAUAUAUAUAUGCACCUCUCUCUUGGCCAAUGUAUGUACGGAAUGCACGGCAUCCCUUCCUUUCUGGUGCGCUGCAGCCUGCAGGGUGAUGAGUGAGAAAGCCGACAAGCUUGACAAAUCCCCAGUGCCAUUUACGGGCAAAACCCGAAGUUCAGGAAGUUUGUAUAGGUCGGCACAGUGUAAUUUUUUGCCGCUUGAAUCAACUCGUAUGGGCUAGCUCAAGAACAAUCGUAUGGGAAUUGACUCGCCUGCGGAUUAGCUCAGAUGGAGGGCGAUAUAAUGCUUUAUAGAACAGCUUUAAAUUAUCAAAUGUAACUGUUUCCAUAAAUUCUCUACUAGCUUUCUACGUACACAAGCCUCAAACUAGCUUAGACCUUGCGCUUAAGAAGCUUCGUCAAAACGUUGCAGGAGCUUAGGUCAAUAAAGUAAUCACUCUCAGGUCCUUAGAAUGCUGCAGCAAAGUGACAUAAAUCGGAAUAGAAAAAUUAAUGGCAACUUCGGGGGACGUAAAAGAAGGCAAACUUCCACCACAGUUUAAAGACCAGAUGGGCAUGAAUGCAGAAUAAUUUAAAGCACAAGUCCAAAAUGAGAUAACUUUGACAGGAGCACCAUCCACCUGUUCAAACUUGGCUAGUGUUUCAGUCUCAACUUAAGUAUUAGGCCCCAACCCAAGCAGAUUCCCGACGUCUGAUCUCGAGCUCCAUGUUUUUUACUCAACAGAAGAACUAAAUGAUCACGCGUACGCUCCAUGAAACAAGCUAUACCAUUACUCACGGCCAUUAGCAAAGAAAUCAAGUAGAGUACAUCGAUCAUUUAUAUUAUGCUGUUUUAGUGUAAAUGCACGACAUACAGGAGACAUUGAUUAUGUGAAGUCCUGCUCUAAUCAAACCAUAAGAGAACACGAGGAUGCCAAAUAAAAACUUUGAAGUUCAACAUAGUUGACAAAACAGUUACAAAAGAGUUAACACAACUCCCACAAUAUAUUGUCUACUUCUGUACAAAAACAAUUUUCCAAUUACACAAGCAAUUUCCCAAGAAGGAAUUUGCUCUUAGACCACUUCAAUGCAAUCCUAGAUGAACUGUGAUGCAAUUCCGUAAUAUACAAUACAUAAUUUUACUGAGAAAUCACAAUAAGUUUCUUAAAGAAACCUCAAGAUGAUUCAAUUCCAUCCCAGAUCAGAUAGCUGAUCAACAGCCCCGGUCAGAAAUUCAACAGAAAAGGAAGUCACUAUCACCAUGGAAUGCUUAAGAGCUGUGAUGUUGUUCAGCUAUUAAUUAGCUUCGAAUUAGAAAAAAUGAAACUAACCAAGAGCAUCGAUAUUGAUAUAAUGAUGUAGGUAAGCAGAAUGAAUGUGUUAAGAAGCAACUAUGGAAGGAAGAGGAUUCUAGGUCAAAUGUCUCAACUUGCAAUAGACGGAAAGUAGAUUAGUUCCAACUUAAAUCUUUCACCAAGGGCCUAUUUGUUUCAAUGUAAGUAGACUUCAAGUUAAAGUAGACCUUAGUUUGAACUAGAGUUCAGGUGACAAUUACUUCACCUCCGCUGUUUGUUUCUAAUUGUGGAAGUGAAAUUCUAUUGUUUGUUUGGCAGAAAAUGAAUAACGUAAAAAGUGCAGUUCUCCACUUCCUCUCUUUGUUUCAUCGAAAAUUAUUCAUUCCCCUCACCCUGGUAAAGUUACCUCCUACAUGAUACUUUUGUCUCUUUUCUAACUUAAUAAAUAAUAAAUUACAAUAAAUAAAAAAAUAAUGUAAUUAUAUUUCUAUACAAUUAUAAAAUGAAAUUUAAAAUAAUUAUAUUAAUUUUUUGUAUAUAAAUUAUAAUAAUGCAACAAAUAAAAUUCUAAAGUUAAAGAAUUAUUAACAUUUAACAUAUUAAUUUUCAUCGCUUUUUAAGUGUGCAAAUUAAAUAAAAGAUAUAUCGAAACUUAACUAACCAAACUUCGUCAUAUUUAAUACAUGCAAUCUAAAUAAAAAAUUAAUUACUUCUAUAAUUAAAUAUAUUUGGAUGAAAUACAACUAGCAUUACUCAAAAUAUCACCCCAUGAGAGAGUAACCCUAAACAUCACCAUAAUUAAGUUCCCAUUAUCCUUUCCUUCAGUCCACCGGAAUUGACUUCGUCUCAUGGAAGAGCGAAAUCAAUUUUGGUGUUUUGGAUGAACUGGACUUUCGACCGUGGUAAUAUUACGAUGAACCAAACAACAGAAGCAAUCAGUUUUCGUCGAAAAUCACUCCCCCCUCCCCAAACAAACAGGCCCCAAAAGUCUAAAGACUCUUGUUGAAUGCAGUAACCUUCCAAGUCAGCAAGGGACAGCAUUCGAUCAAUGAAAACAAACAAAGGAAAAUGAGCAGAUGAUUGGAUGAAUUAGUCAAGGUAAAUCAAGACUUAUGCAGAAAUCCUGAUAUUCCACAAUGUGGCCGGCAUAGUUUCGACUGAAUAUCACCUUUAAAAUGUACCUACAAGAUCAAAUGGAUUAAUUAAUUCAGGAACAGGAUAUUGAAGAUUAUAUGCUCAUUGACCAUGUUACAGGAAAAUAUUUUUGUUUAAAUAGUUAAAAGCCAACGAAAAAGACCAUGUUAAAAUAUAAGCCAAAACCAAGUAGCACAAAGUGCUUUGAUCUGCUUGAUAGGUCUCCACUCUAAAAAUAAGGAUUAAAAAUUUACCAUCACUCAUGUGAAUAUAUACAUCUACAUGUCUUAGUUAACAAGAAAUUGUGCCGAUUUACAUAGGUAUUUGCAAAGCUGCUCUAGCUGCAAAUUCCAACAGCCACACAGAGUCCAAACUGGGAACACUCCCAAUAAUUAGCUUUGGUACAAAGAAAUGGGUUCACACAAGUACUUGAUUCAUCAUGGACUGACAUCAGUUUUCUUGUUUGUAAGAGAAUUAGCUAAAAUUGAUUGCAGGAAUGCAGGAUAUUGGAUCAGACUGUAAACCACAAGUAAAUUUCUAAUUGUGACCACCUUGUUUUUCCAUGAGAUAAUACACUACCAAAUGCAGAGAUAUUACCACUGCACCAUUAUGGAGCAGCUACCCCCAGGAUAAAAGUAUUUUUUAAUUUCCUUUUAAUACCAAAAUGGCUUUUGCCUAUUGUAUAAAAAGUCGUGUACUAAACAACAUCAUAUCGGAAACUAUGCUACAUAUAACAUUAACAAUAUAAGACUUCACGCAUCAGCUAAUAGGGCUACAGUCCAUAUCUAGCCUGACAGAGCGUGCAGAAGUUGCUUGAAUGAAGAAAAGAGAACUUAUUGGGCGAGAAAACAAAAAAUUGUGUUUUUCUUGUAUACAAUAGCAGUCUGUCACCACGUGCAAGCACAUAAUAUUCUGAAACAUCAGCUUAGGUGGUCGCGUACCAAUCAACUGUUUCUGCUCACAAGAGAAUAUGCAAUCUAUAUCAGAUUAAAGAAGAUUAAAAAAUUUGAGAGCUUGAACAUUAAGCAUAUGACAAUCUUUCCAUAGAACGCUAGUAGAAAUUUACCUGCUUUCAAAUUUUACCAUCAGAAAAUGUGAUUGAGAUGUUACAUGGUGGCUUGAAUGCCCCGAUAAUAUAAUUUUGAAAUGGAUAAUGUACCGUCUUAUGUAACGACAACAGAUAAUACAGAAAAUCCAUUAUAAGCUAUGUAGACAUGAAGACAAAAGUACCCAAAAAAUUAUCAACAUGUUUAUAUCACGCAGUAGAUAAGAGAGGGAGAUAUUUACAUGCAAGGGCAAACAGGCUAUAAUUUAUAGAAUAUUAAUUGAAUAAUGAUGGAAAAUGAGCUAGAUAGAGAACUAUUCGCAAGCACAAAAUCUGAUUAGUUCUUCUUUGUUCAAGAAUUAGUGCUGCGCUUGCAAUCUCCAGAAGUAAAGGAAGCAAGAAUUUGAACAGAGAGAAAAAUAUCAUUCUGCUCUAUUGGAGUACUACUACUGCACUUUGCAAUGACUUAAAAGAAAAGCUAAAACUUGCUUUCGCGUAGUACAAACAGCGGCUUGAUUAGACUCAAACAGUGUAUAGCAGACAGAUUUAUUGAAGAUGAACACAGCUCGCGCUGGUUUACGUAUGAUAGCCACCGCAAGAGAGCAACGCCAUAUGUCGCUGCCUAUUCUUUUACUGAACGGCUAUUAAAUUGACCAAUACAAUAUGUAGUUAUGGCACUAAAUCAAAUAAUGUAAAUCUAACACAUCAUCAAUGUGAAUUUCAUUAGAAUAAAAAAAAAAAAAGAUCAUCUGGAGAAAUAAGCAGAACAAACAUAAUGCCAAGCACUCAAUCAAGAGGAACGCAUAGAAUCAUCAGACGAAUAACAAUGCAAACUGAUUCACCAAGUUUAACACCAACUCCACCUAAUCUGUGAGAAGUUAACAACAUGGAAGAGAUUCCACCGAUUGCACCUAAUCUUGCGAGAAAUUAACAGCAGCAAGAAGAGAGAGAGAGAGAGAGAGAGAGAGAGAGAGAGAGAGAGAGUCACCAUGCUUUUCGUGCUACAUUGAAGAAUCAAAGCCCGCGAGACUGCAUCAAGAAACAAUGCCCAAGCAAUCAACAAUCUCUCGCUUCAAGAAAUGUAGAUUAGAUCCAAGAAUAGCUUCGAUCAUUGGCGGGAGACGUUGAAAUCCCCAACCCCCAAUGCCCAAAUUGAAAUAAAAGAAUUGUGGGGAGUGGGAGUCGACGAAGAAGGGAAUACGAAAGCAGCAGGCGAUGGAGAUUGGAGGGGAGGUGUAAAACAGGUUCGUUUCUUUCUUGUUCUCACCUGGUCGCUUGGGCUCUCCUCCAUUGUGCGAUCGACCAGCUUUUGAACGGACGGGAUCUACGCCUUGAAAACGUGGACGGCUAAGAAUGGAGCGUAAAACCUCUUUACAUUUGUCCCCUGGAAAUUUAGUUACAUACUUACAUCAGCGCUGCAGCCCGGAGGAAUUAAAAUGUUAUUGUUAAGGGCCUGUUUGGUUACCUAUAAAAUGGCCCGGGAAAAAAAACUUCAAUGAAAAAUUACAAUUUUGAGCGUUUGUUUGUCCGUAAAAAUUUUAUUUUGAAAAUUUUUUUUUACGACUACGAGGAAAACGAAGGUUUAACAAUUUUUCGCGGCUUAAAAAAGGCGGGAUUCACAGGUGCGCAGUCCACCAGGCGCACUCUACCUCGUGGACCACGAGAAAGAGGUCUACUGGGUGGGGUGACCUCCCUCCCCCAUCUUUAUUUAUAUAUAUAUAUAUAUAUAUAUAUAUAUAGUAUGGCUAGAAUACUUUUACAAGUAUCACCCAAGUGAUACUUGUGUGUUUUUAGCCAUUGGAUCUACUUUUUGAUUACUAAUAGGCCUUGGAUCAAACACUAUUCCACCUACCACCACCUACCACUAUCAUCUCAACCUCACAUCUCUCCAUCCAAGGGCUAAAAACACACAAGUAUCACCCCCAUGAUACUUUUACAAGUAUUCUAGCCCUACUCAUAUAUAUAUAUAUAUAUAUAAUAUAUAUAUAUAUAUAUAUAUAUAUAGAGUGGGUUACUAUGCUAUCGAAAGUACGGAGUCUUCCGUGCUUCCAGCUCGUUUUCGAUGUUGCGACUUUUCGAAUCGUCGAUCGCCCGUUAAACUUGAUCUAGAAUAUUUGAAGUAGACUAGAAAAAUAAAUUUUAUGAUUUUAUGAUAUCAUUUGCCUAGUGAACGAAGGGGCUCAAAUCAACGGCUGAAAAUAAAAAUCUUACAAAAUGUAAUAAUAUGAAUAUUAAAAUUAAAUCAAAGAUAUUGAUCUUGUUUUAUAUAGUAUAAAGAAUUUUCUACAAAAUUUUACGUGAUUUGGAUAUUCUACACCGUUAACUUGCAAAGGCCCACUACGGCCAUUGAAAUUAUAUUGAUUUUAAGCCCAUUCGAUCACUAGGCAAAUGAUAUCGUAAAAUUAUAAAUUUAUUUUUAGUAUUUCAAAUACUCUAGAUCAAGUUUAACGAAGCCGAUGACGAAUUCGAAAGUCGCAAUAUCGAAAACGAGCUGGAACACGGAAGGCUCCAUGCUUCCGAUAAAUAGUAGCCUCACUCUAUAUAUAUAUAUAUAUUAUAUAAUAUAAAAAUAUAUAUAUAUUUAUAAAAUAUAUUUAUUAUAUAAUAUUUAUAUCUAUUAAUUAUUUUAUAUAUUAAAUAUAUACAAUUAUAUAUUAUAUUAUAUAUUUAAUUAUUGCAUAGUAUAUUUUUAAUUAUUUUAUUUAUAAAUAUAAACUAUAAUACUAAUAUAUAUAAUAUAUAAUAAUUAUAUAUUAAUAAUAUAAAAUAGUAUAUAAUAAUUUUUAUUAUAAUUUUUUUUUUUUUAAUCAAACAAUCGUCGUGAAAAAUUAUUAUUAUUUUUUCUACAAAUCAAACAUAAAUAAAAUAAAAUAUUUUUUUCACCUAAUUAUUUUUUUUAUAAUUUUAUGUGAAACCAAACACAACACUAUAUAACGAUAAUUCAUAAUAAAAUUUAAAUUAUAGGGUCGCUCGACUUUGCUUAGUUGUGAAGUUUGAGUGUUGACUGUUGAGUGACAAAUGGGGACCACGUACGCGCGAGCAAUAAUUGUUCUCCUUGGAGAGCGGAAUGCGCUUUUCCCCCCCCAAAGCACGCACACGGAGAAAAUGAAAGGGCCGCUCCGUUCUCCUUAAUUGCCACUCGACUGGGGGUUCGAAAGGGCACGCAGGAUCGUAAAGAUCUAGAGAGAUGGCGACGGCAUUGUCGUGCAGGGACGGAGGUAUCUACUUCAGGCUAGAUGGGAAGGGAUCGAAUGACGACGGGAAUCAGUGGGACGACGGCGCCGGGGGUGAGGUGAGGGAGAUUUGCAUAUGCCACGGACCGAUCGUCUACUCCAUUCAAACCACCUACGAGCGCCAAGGCACCCUUCUCUGCUCUCGCCGUCACGGCGGCACCGACGGCAACUUCGACUUCGUAAGCAAGCAACUUAGAUCUCUUCUCUUUUUGUUUUUUUCAAUCUUUUCUUUUCUUUUCUCCUUUUCUCCUCUUCUCUUUGCGCCUGCGCGUCCGCGUCCGCGUCCGCGUCCGCGUCUAUUAUCUUUUCUAUUAUCUUACUAAUCUUUUGAGUAAUAUAUUAGUGUCGGAACCACCACUAUGAAUUUUCUGCCUAGUCGUGGAAUUUAUCUCUUCCCACUUUUAAACAGUUAGCUAAUGGGUUAGAAAUAUGCUCUAUCGAAUAACCAAAAGGCAUUAGAGGAAAAAUAAAAAUAAAGUAGAGGAGGAGGAGUAGUAAGAGUAAAUUUCUAUGUUGUUCUUAAUAAUUAUGCGUUCAGAUUAACGACAUGAUGAAGCUCUUAAAAAAACAAGUUUUUAUGAGUUUUGAAAAUCAGUUUUUACUUGAUCAACCGGCGGAUCUAGAGUCUAGACAUUUUGAUCCAGGGGCGAAAGACGCAGAAGGAUCCGACCGUCGAAUUUGCUAGAUAACGGUAAAUUUUUAAUUUCUAUUAAUUCGAAUGGCGAUAUAUGGUAACUAUUGUACCCUGAGUUUCAGAACUUCAUUUACAGGGUACGAAUGUUGAAUGUUUUUUUUUCAGAUUUCCUUGAGUAGUCCUCUCACCUGGGUGAGUGGGCAUUAUAGCUCAUGGUGCUGGGAUCCCGAUUUGUUAUUCCCUGAUGAGGAGGAGGAACCCUAUAACUUCUGCAAGGUUAUAAGGUCGCUUAAGUUUGGCACCGCCGACGGAGCUACCUACGGUCCGUACGGCAGGGAGAUCGGCGAGCCCUUCGACUUCCGAUGCAGCACUGGCAUCGCCGGCUUCCAUGGCCGCGACGAUUCUUUCCACCUCAAUGCCAUCGGCGUGUACGUGAAGAGCGCGGCGAAGGGCGUCAUUGACGACGCUACGCUCAUCAGCAGGGGAGCUUCUGCGGAUGUGAAUAGCAGCGGCACUUUGCCGUUGAGCAGCAGCAGCAGUAAGCUGCUGGACGAACCGAAAGCGUAAGCCAGCAGGAAAGUUAGCGUUUAGAAAUCCAUCCAGGGGCAUAUACAUACCUAUACGGAAAUUUAGUAAUGCAGUCUUAACGUAUGUAUAUAUAUAUAUAUAUAUAUAUAUAUAUAUAUAUAUAUAUAUAGUCCAUCUCUUCUCCUUUGUGUUUGAUAAUGUACUGGUAUUAUUAAACUGUAGUAAUGGAGUCAUGCAACUGGAGUUUCUGUUGAGCGCCUAUAUAACUCUACAUAUAUCGUGAUCAAAAUGUCUAUAUUCCGCUGUUGAUUCAGUAAAAAAUUAUUUUUAGAAGAAAAAAAACUCAUAAAACAGCCCUAGGUAGUACAGUAUCUCAAAAAAGAAAAAAACAAAGAAGAAUAAAAAGAGGCAACUGAUGGUUGAUCUGUUCGCAGUUGUAUAAUACAUCUUGCAUACUUUCUCUACGUCUGAAAAGUAUCUUUUUCAAUACAUGCUAAUAAAAGCUAGAAUAUGAAACUUUAUAAACCAUUCAACUGAAUAUUUUACUCUAUGUAGUUUCCUCCACGUUUUUACCCUAAACAAAAUGAUUCCAUAGCAUAAGGAUUUUUUUUUUACAAUCUCUGUUCCUUGGAGCCAAUGGCCAAUAAUACUCUUUUUAUAUUUUUAGUCCGUAGAGUAUAUAGUACAAUUAAAUUCUUCAAUCAUUUGAAAGCUAAGAAUUUUUUGUUGUGAUCCCUUGACUAUAUUUAUAUUUACAAGUUAGGCAUGUAAUAUAUAUAAACAUAAUCUCGAGUCUACUCGAACCGAGGCUUAUCAAGAAAAUUAUGCUCAAGCUUAAUUUGAAACUAAUUUUGAGCUAAAAUUUAUGGUGAAAUGCACAUUUGGCCUUUAAACUAUGCGGCACAUGAUAUUUUGAUAGUCAAUUUUUAGUUUGUUAUAAUUUAUGGCUCAAAAUUUUAAAUUUUUAUAACUAAUUUUAUCGAUGAAAUAUUGACGUAUCUGUGAAAAGAAAAUAACAUUUUAAUUAUUAUUGCAUUAUCAAUAAUACUGUCAACUAAAUUAAAUUUUAUAACUUAAUUACAAAAAAUAUAAAAAUUUAAACUAAGAAAAUAAUAAACUAAAUUUUGAUUAUUAAAAUACCACAUAUUUUAUAAUUUGAGGACCACAUUAUCACGGCCUUAUCGUUUUUGCUCACAAAGUUCGUGCAACGUCCGCCUUAUUUUUUAAUAAUGAGCAAGUUUAACUCCCUAUUAUUAGUCUAGAUCUCUGCAUCCUAUGAGUAAAUAUGCAAAAAAAGAUAGAAGAGAGAGAAGCAAAGGUUGCAAAAAAAAAAAAAAAAUUAAGAACGCAACUAUUUAGAAAAACAUAAUUACAAUACACAACGUCUCUUACACAACUCUUCUUGUUAAGUUUGGCCAUAAUCAUCCUCACAAUUUAUAGGCUUAAAAUAUAUUGAAUUUAGUCUAUGCUAAAUCACCAUUAAGUACACAUUAACUCACUCACUAUUAUAUAGUAAUGAGCCCUCAUGAAUGCCUAAUAAAUGCAAGGUGAUCCCGAGGGUUGCUAAUGAUCCUUCAAUUUUUGCCGGCGGUUUUGGAGCUAUUAAAUCCCGCAGCUAUAUAACCUUUCAUCUUCCAUAAAAAGUCUACUAGUUUAGUAUCUCUUUGGCUGCCCACUUAGCAAAAUUCGGCCAAAAAGUUGGCGGGACUAAAAAAUUAUCACAUCCGUGACAACAUGGUUAAUUUAUAGUAAAAUUUAUAUUCAAGUGUGUUUUUAUUUAGGGUCAAUUAUAAUUUACUAUAUUUGCGGGUACUUAUAAUUUACUAUAUUUCUAAUUUACUAUAUUCAAGUAUGUUUUUAUUUAAUUUGGAGCCAGGUUUAACCGAGCUCGUAGCAGAGCUUAACACGAGCUGAGACCGAAAUCCAAAGUUGAACUUUAAAUAAAUAUAUUUAUAAUUUACUAUAUUUGCGGCACCGGUAUUUAAUUAACCCUUUUAUUUAAUUUGGUGCCAGGUUUAAUCGAGCUUAGAACCGAGCUUAACACGAGCUGAGGCCGAAACCCUUGGUUGAAUUGCCACCCUUAUCUCCAUCGCAUACUCUCAAUUGUGUAAGAAGAGAGCGCAGGUGAGGUGUGAGACGAGCUACUGCUGCUGCUUCUCUUCUUCCGUGGUCAAAAUGGCGGGUCUCGUGGGAUCGCCAUGGCUCCGAAUUAGGGUUUCUCCCGAUUUCGCACCUCUUCUUCUCCGAUCGCCACUCGCUUCGAAGCCCUACCUCGCCCAUCGGCGGCGGAGCCUCGCAGUCUCGGCCUCUUCCGCCGCCGCCGCGGCGGCGCAGGGCGAGGUCCGCGUCCGCUUCGCCCCGUCGCCCACGGGGAACCUCCACGUCGGCGGUGCUAGGACGGCGCUCUUCAACUACCUCUUCGCUAGGUUCGUCUUUGGCUCUUCACUCUACGUGGAUUCACUACUCCCUACGAACGAAUCGUCCUGUGUAAUAAUUUUUAUAUUCCAAAGAUAGGAGGGGGCAUCAGCAUGUGCCUUUUUUUUUUUUGGUGUAUAUUACAAGUGAAAAGCAAAGGUUGAUUGCUAAAAUUGGAGAUGGCAAGAUGAUUUCCUGUAUGUAACUAGCUUGCAUCUAGUAUAGCUGUCUCUCUUCAAAUUCCUUUAUCUGUUUAGCUUUGUAGUCCACAUUCCUCUUGCAAAUUGCAAUUUUUUCUUGCCUCAUGGAAAGGACCUGUUUUUCAUUUCUAAUUUCGGUCAAAUUAGCUUUCUUUUUUUUUUCGUGUGCGUACUGUGUAGAUUUUUACUACAUGAAAAUAUUUACUUAUAGGUCCAAGGGCGGAAGAUUUAUACUUCGAAUUGAAGACACCGAUCUGGAGAGGUCAACUAAGAAGUCGGAGGAAGCAAUGUUGAAUGAUCUCUCUUGGCUCGGUCUUGACUGGGAUGAAGGUGAUUUGUUGCCUCAUUGCCUAACCCUUUAAAGAUAAGAUUGAACUGUUGUUUCCUUUACAAUUAAAGGUGUUUUUUUGUUAUUAACUAGAAAUUGGAAAGCAAACUUGUGUUGUGUUACUUGCAUGCAUUCGAAGAUGAAAAGUAUCAUGUGAUGAAUUUUCAGGUCCAGGUGUUGGUGGAGAUUAUGGUCCUUAUCGGCAAUCAGAACGGAAUUCCCUUUACAAACAAUAUGCUGCUAAGCUGUUGGAUUCUGGUGCUGUUUACCGUUGUUUUUGCUCUAAUGAGGUAAUUUGGUAUGUGAUUCCGAAGUUGACAUUUUUGCUCGGUAUAGCAUCAUAGAAAUUAGCUGGACACACAAAACUCCGUAUGGUAAAUUGAUUGGGUAAAUGCAACCAUUAUGCAAUAUAAACUUGUCCUUUAAGUGGCCUACGAAGAUUGUAGAUUAUAAUUUUUAUACAAUUCUCUGUGCAUUGCUUGAUGAAUAAAUUUCAUUCGUAUGGAGUUGCUUCUUUUGUUAUUUUUUUUUUUCCUUAAAGAUGGAUGUACCUAAAUCAUUUGUAGAAGCAUCUAAUUAAUUAAAACAUUUAAGUCUUUUUGGAUUAAAGGGCCUUCCACAUGCUCUAUGAAAUACCAAAGAUUGUUAGUGAGCCCAAAGGCGAAAUUUUGUCUUUCUUCAAGGUUUUAUAGUUUUGACUUAUUAGUUAUAAACUAUUAUUUUUCUCCAGGAACUUGAACAAAUGAAGGAAACUGCAAAGCGGCUGCAGCUGCCUCCAGUAUAUACAGGAAAGUGGGCAACUGCUUCAGAAAAAGAAACAGAGGAGGAGUUGGUGAAAGGAACACCAUAUACUUACCGCUUUCGCGUGCCCAAAGAAGGGACGCUGAAAAUCAGUGACCUUAUUCGGGGAGAAGUAAUAUCCUUUAUUACUUAUUCAACUUAAAAGCUUAUGGCUCAUAUUUAUAGUUGUAUUCAUAUAAAUUUACUUAUUGGUCUGAUAGUUCUGUGAAGGUCAGUUGGAGCUUAGACACACUCGGUGAUUUUGUCAUUAUGAGAAGCAAUGGUCAACCUGUAUACAAUUUCUGUGUCACUGUUGAUGAUGCUACAAUGCGUAUAUCCCAUGUUAUUAGGUAGUAUACUCACAUAACUGAAGUAUCUGCUUGGUCAAACUAUUUUGGGUUUUCGCGUAGAAUAUCUGAUGUGGGUCUUCAUUAUAUCCCUUUCUUGUACAGAGCAGAGGAGCAUUUGCCAAACACUUUGCGACAAGCACUUAUUUACAAUGUCAGUUCUUUUUUUUUCUUUUUAUUUGUCUCUUUUGUUUCUCCCUUUGUAAAUAUUUAUGCUGGCUUUCUUGUAAAGAUGGGUAAAUUGGCAUCAUCGUUAAUAUUUUCCUGUAGGCACUUGGAUUUCCAAUGCCUUCUUUUGCGCACGUUUCCCUAAUUCUUGCACCAGAUAGAAGUAAACUGUCGAAACGCCAUGGUGCAACUUCAGUAGGGCAGGUAGUUAAUGAUGAUAUUCUCUGGAAACACUUACAAAAUCCUAUAUCUAAUUACAGAAAAAACCGUAAAAUCCUGUAUCUGAUACUUGUACGCAUGCAUUCCUUUUUCUCUGGCAGUUCAGAGAGAUGGGAUACCUGCCUCAAGCAAUGGUAAACUAUUUAGCUCUUUUGGGUUGGGGGGACGGUACAGAAAAUGAAUUCUUCACCAUUGAUCAGCUUGGUUAGUUUUCCUAUUGCUGUAAAAGCUAGAAUAUGAGGUUUUCUUUUCAUUGUAUAUCAAUAUUUACUGAGAGCUGUGCUCUUUCUAUUUACAGUUGAAAAAUUCUCGAUAGAACGCGUCAAUAAAAGUGGGGCAAUCUUUGAUUCAACAAAGCUAAGGUGAAUGCUUGGGAAAAAGAAUGGGAAUAGACUGGUUUGAACUUUCUAUGCAUUGAUCUUUAAGUUAUGAAGUAUUUAUUUGCUGGUUCUGUGACAUAUUACUUUUUUAUGAUUAGAUGGAUGAACGGGCAACAUUUAAGAUCCCUUGCUUUAGAUGAAUUGAUCAAGAUUUUCGGAGAUCAGUGGAAGCGCACUGGCAUUCUCCUCGAAGCGGAAGGCAGUUUUGUCAAGGUUUUUCACAUAUACAUAGCAGGCUUGGAAUUUUUCUUAUUUGUUUUGACUCUUCAUAGUGCGUCCAUUAUUUAAUUUAUUACUUGACGCUUGUUAAGUUAUGUUUAUCUCUUACCUCCUCCUUGUACUUGCACAAUAUUUAUUUAUUUGCAUAGCACAGAUUUGCAUGUAACAGUGCAAGUCAUUUAACUAUUAGUAGAGGAAUUAUCAUGUCCUAUAACCUAGGUAAUGAUAAGUGAGAUUUUAGAUGUCCCGGGCUUACAUUUUGAGCACACGUUGAUCAAAGAGAGAAAUAGUGGAAACAACCUCACCUCAAAUGUUCAAUUUUACUAUAGUAUGCAGAUCCCAUAUUUUGAGGUGGACUAAGACAGUAGGCUAAAUGUAUGCCUUGUAGAAAAAAGAAUUGCACUGAUGGUAGUAACAAACACAAAUAUAUAUACCCCACAAACAUAUAAUUUUCUAUCUCUUGGUUAGCCACAACGAAAUGGUGCUAUGCCACUGCAAGAUCAUACAUUUAAUGACUCCCAUAUUAUAUGUACGCGUAACUAGUAUUUCCUCAACUUACUGCAGACUUUUCCAAUAAAAUUUAAUCUGAAAUUGAAAAUCCUAGGACGGAAUUCUAACUCUUGCAACACAAUAAGUGCAGGAUGCAACCGAACUGUUGAAGGACGGAAUCGACCUGAUAACAGAUGCUGACACAGCCUUAUCUAAUUUGCUAUCUUAUCCAGUCCUCUCUACUUUAAGCAGGUGUGUAGAACUUUGAUGCAUAUAGAAUGUAGUUCUCUUAUUUUUCUGAGCAUAUACUUUAUAUACAGCUUGAAAUGUUGCCUUUGUUUCAUCUCGACGCAAGCUUGUUUUUACUUGAUUCACAAACACACCAGUUUUGGUUAAAAUGAGACUGGCCUCAUAGCUAUACCGUCUCAAAUGAUCGAUUUUUUAUUUUGCUGAGGUUUUCUUUAGGUAAAUUAAGUUUGAUUUAGUACUCAGGUUUGAUAAAUUGUACAAUCUUCAGUGAAGAAGGCAAACCCAUUGUACAAGAUAAGCUUUCCGAGGUAGCGGCAAGUUUGAUUUCUGCUUACGAUAGUGGGGAGCUUCGUGAAGCACUGGAGGAAGGGCAUGUUGGUUGGAAAAAAUGGGUGAAGAGCUUUGGCAAGUUACUCAAUCGGAAGGUAAUUUUUAGAAGCAUGGCAAAAUACUCUCUUCUAGUUUGUUAAAGAAAUAGUUUUAAAUUGUUACUAAGUUUAGUAUAUUCUGUUUUUACAAUAAAUAAAUUGCGGUUCCUUCCUCCUCUUUUCCUCCUCUUUUCCAUUAUGUAAAUGUAAUUGGAGGAAUGAUUUUAGGCUACAUAAAUCUUUCUCGUGCAUACUCUGACAUAGCUGUCUGGCUAAUCUUUAGCUUUAUGUAUACAUACAUGCACCUAGAUGCCCACAUGCAUGCGUGUGCAUAGUAAUAAUAAUAUGAAUACUUAUUUGUAAUCCUGAUGCAUCCUAUGCUUAAAAGACAACCAAAUAAGAAAACUAUAGUCACAGUUAUGAUUAACUUGGAUUUUUAAUGCUAAACACCUAACUUUCUAACCUUUUUUUUCUUGGUUACUUAUCAGGGAAAAUCUCUAUUUAUGCCUCUUCGAGUAUUACUGACGGGGAAGCUUCAUGGCCCAGAUAUUGGGGGCAGUAUUGUUCUGAUAUAUAAAGCCGGUCUCUGCGGAGCAGUUAAUCCACAAUCAGGUUUUGUGCCUUUGGAUGAGAGACUCCGAAUUUUGAAGGAGAUUGACUGGGACGCACUGAACAAGGAACCGGACCCACAACGCAAAUCCGUUGCAACUGUCACUCAUUAAAUAUUUUUUGAUCUUUUUGGAUUUUAUGUUUUUCAAUUGUUAAGGGUUUUUCCUUUUUUGUAUUGUUUUUAGUCAUGCAAAUAAAAUUCGGAGAGAACUGUCGUUGUUUAUGAUGUCCAGCUUUGUUUGGUUCCGAUACCUUUGCUCUGCUCGUCUAACGAAUGUAGCAAUCUGAGUUGUGCAUCAUUUGUACCCAUUUUGAUCCUUUUUUGUUUGUGGUGCUCUCUCUCUUUCUCAUGCGCGCACAACUCGUGAACUCUUUUUUAAUGGUGAACUAGUUAAGUAUCCGCGCGUUGCGGCGGAACGAUUUCAUAGAAAAAAAUAAUUAAAUAAAUAAAUUUAAAAAUAACAAAACAAAGAGUUAAAAAAUUAUAUAAUAUAAACAACCGAAAAAUAAACAACUAAUUAAAAUUUGAGAAUAAAAAUAUCACAUACCUCAUUAUUUAAAUCAUAAUACAUUAAAAUGUGGGGAUUAAAGUGUUAUUCGUCCUAUAUUUUUAUUUUAAGGAUGAAAGUGUAAAUCCAAUCUUUCAAUUUUUUUUAUCCAACUCUUUAUAUGUUAGAUUUAAGCAAGUCAACGAUAUUUUGACAAUUCUCGCAAUUAAAUUUUAUAAAAUAUAAAAUUAAUUUAAACUCUAUCAAUNCCCCGCGUGCCCGCGCCACGCGGCGCUCCGCCACGCGCGCCCGCCUGCCCGCGCCCCGCGCUCGCCCCUGCCCGCGCCUCCAUGCUCGCCACCUGUUUCGAAACUGUGAAUUCAUGUAUGUUAUGUUAUAGAUUAGCAAAUCUCUCUUAUAUUUUCCCCAUAGGAGUAAUAUUUGGACCAUCGAAGUGGCGAAGAAUUAAUGGACGGUACUUAAGGUCCUAAAAGUGGAAGUCUAGUAGUUUCAUACUUUCAUGUUGCUAGCCAAGUUUACUUUUUUUAAAACAAAUAAACAAAGCACAUAACUCUUUAAAAAAACAGAGUGUCUCGGUGAUACAAUCUUCUACGCUCAAUAAUUCAUCUGCUAAACCGUGAAGUUUCCGGCCAUAGAGACAUCACAUCCUUUUUCUUUUCUUUUUUUUCAAAAUUGAUUUACUUCCAAAAAUUGCCGAUAGAAGUGAACAUUCAGUGCUUAUACAGAUAUUCUUUUAAAGGCAGUAUUCGUACAGAGUGCAGCUCAAAUAUGCAGUAGUCUCCAAAGAAUAAAGUUACUCCGUUGGGUUUUGUUUCUUCUGGCCUUUUUACACAAGAUUGAUAGUGUGCCCCCCAUGCCGUCGCUGAUCGACAUGCAAAUCUACAACAAAGAGUUGCCGGUACAAAUGGGCAUUAUGCAGACCCCCAACUUGAAUCCUCAAUAACUAUGAUGACACCGACCACAUGAAAAAUGUUGACCAUAUCGUGAGUGAAACUGAAGCCAGAGAAUAUGCCCAAAGAAGGAUAACUGAGCAUUCGCUCUCCCCAGCCCCGAACAAUUGUGUUAUGGUGCCUGCCAAUUUACAAUUUCAUCAAUAAGAGAGUUGAUAUUUCUCAACUUAGGUACGACUACGAAGCGAAAAACAAAAAGACCAAGGUCCAAGUAGUAAGAUUAAUGCGGAAUUUUGGCAAAUGUUUGUUGAAGCCAUAUCAUUGUCUCUUUUUUUUUUUCCUUUUUUUCUUUCUGUUACCUAUAUUCAUUGCGGGUGGAACAGCAUAUUGGAGCAGAAGAAUGAACUGGUAUAAAGGAUCUGCAUGCACCAGACCAAGUCGAACCGCCCCUUUAACGAUGACUAUGCCCACUAGGGGCAACAAAAUAUAACGAACAACUAUAAUUCCGAUGAUGAUCGAGGGAUUCACUCUUGAUCCUCGCAAACCUGGAAUAUGCCGGCAUGCAUAAAAUUUAAACAGUCACAUGCUUGCUCUUGAGCAACAUGAAUAAGUGCUCAUUUAGAUUUACGAGAAGAGAUAGAAUUGCUACCAUUUAUGAGGUUCCCUCCCAUUAUUAGAGUGACAGUCGGAAUUGCCCCAUCACUAAAAAGGAGAAUAAAGAGAAGUUGUUAAUCCCACAAUGCCAAAAGAAUGAAAGUAAAUACGAAAAAGAACCUAAAUGGAGUGACUACGAGUAGAGAAACAAUAUCUUUAAGGCAAUAAAAAACAAAACUAAAAACACCAGUAUUUUCUACUUUCAAGAGUACAUUUCGUGGGUCCUUUUUUUUUAAACAUGAAAGCUACUAAAUAGCACACGGUGAUUCAAUCAAAGUAAAGGCAUUACCCCAAUACAGCCGCUGAUUCCUGGAUAACACGAAGAGGAGCACUUUCUCCGAUCAUUGCUUUUCUAAGUUGAGGUAUUACUCCUAUAAUGAACCCAACAAUCUACACAGUGAAGAAAGAAAUUUAAUCAUAAACUUUUCACAGAUUACAUAUAAUGGAUCUCAUAAAACUCAUCCAAAGGUUUCUAAGCUUUGUAUUGAGAUGAAUCAUGUACUGAGAAAGAACUACAUCAUGAGUAUCAACAGGUUUAAAAAACGAAACUCGUCGGCUAUAUUUAAAUGUUAAUUACAUCAAUAACACUAGCAUGCAUGUCUGUGGUGGCACUAAAAAAAAAGAAUAGCUUACCACGCCAAUAGUCGAAGGUGCAAACAAUUUCUUCAUGUCAAUUACUUCAGAAACUCUUAACACAAAUUUUCUUGCUUUUACUGAAAUAGGAACCUGCAACAAACAUCAGAUGUAAUCAAAUUCGGAGAAGAAAACAACCUCUGUAAAACUACUGUAAUGGCACAGAUAAAAAGGCUAUAUAUAAUCUCAAGCAAAUGCUCUAACUGAUAUAACUUAAAGAACUAUAACUGAUUUUAUGGUGUUCUACCAUUCAAUUUGGCAAUUAAAGUAAAAUAUAAACCUGAUGGGAUAAUGACAGGAAAAGGGGAAAAUAUAGUGCAACAUAAAGUAACCUUUGCUCUAGUGGAAGAUUCACUGCCAUCAUAGAUAGGGAGGGUACAAUCGUCAGCAUAUUCACCAGUCACCAAGCAUUUAUUGGUUGGAAUUGUUUCAGCUGUACAGGUGCUUGAGAUCAACUUAUCGGUUUCUUCAGGAUACUGUACUGUUUGAGUGUGGCCAUUGGUAUUUAUCAUCCCUCCGGCGGUAUUUGACGAUAAGCGCAUUAUGUUAUAAACAACCGACCACAAAAAGAUUGCACCAAUCUGCAGUAAUAUGAUAGGAAACAAAACUGGUUAAUAAUUAGAUUCUAUCCUCUUCCCUACGUAAAUGGGAUUUGCAAGGAAUCCAUCACAAGGCAAAGUGUAAUAAUAUACUGUCCACGUGUAUGAAAUACUUGGUAAAACUUUGCCAACUAAUGGAAGAUAUUCGGACACAAAAGACUCACAGCCAUAGAUAAAGAAGUAUAUGCUAGUCCAUAAGUAUGACAAGCAGCAGGUUCUCCAAACGGGCUGCCUUUUUCUUUACAAAUAGCAGGGAUGAUGAUAAGAAGCAUAUUGCCUAAAUUACCUGUUGAGGAAAGUUUAUAACUUAUCACACUUUAAUCUAUUAAUAAUCAUGAAAAUUGACGAAUAAAUUGCUCACAAGAUUAAAGGUCCCUUAUGAAGAUAUGGCAACAUUAUCAAGAUAAGUGGAUUGUAGCUUUGUGAUUUACCUGCUGCACAACAGCCCAAAAUUAGGGCUCUCAAUCGUGUAGGAGGUCUGGUUAUCUGUAUCACAACCCAUCCAAAUAGUAAACCGAAAAUGAAGGUCAGAAGGAUAUUUAUUGGCAUAAACCACCUGCAAUUUGGAAAGUUGGAACAGAAGUUACUAUCUUUUUUCAUGUUUCUCUCAAUAUCUAAAGUAGAAAUUAUUGUGUAGAGAAUCACGGUGUCUAACAGUCAAAAACAUAAUUACAAGUAUUUCCAUUUAACAGACAAUAUUUUUUAAAAAAUAAAUAAAUAAAUUAUGUAUCCUCAUCUACAAAUUUCCGGACCAAUGUCUAUGUGUUGAGGGGGGAAAAAGGCAUUUAACGACAGGACACAGCCAUACAAAUCAUAAGUCGAUAAGUAAUCCAAAAAAUGAACUAUAUGUAGAUAAAUACAAAGCAUAUUUACUGUAAGUUGCAGGCACAUAUAUAAGCAGCAUCAAUCACACACACCAGAUGAAAAUUAACCUUAUAAAUUUGGAAAAGUCUAGUUUGAAACUCACAACAAAAUCAUGCUGUCCAUGGUGAUUGUUUGAGAUAAGUUCGUUGCUACAAGUGCCGGAUUGAAUACAUAGAACACAAUCUGUAAGGGAACAAGUGGAGUAUAUCAGACUGGAAGAAUAUGAUGCCAACUAAACCAAUGGGAAAUGAAACACAUUUAUGCGAAAUUCUCCAAUACAAUGAAAAAAUAAAAAAAGGAGAUGAAAAUAAAAACUUGUGUGUUUCAACAGGUGGCGCUGAAGGAUUUCAGAUUAAAAUGAAUGGAUCACCGCAACUAGGGGCGAAAUGGUAUUAGUUACACAAUCGAGGCCAAUUUGUUCUUAGAAAACAGUUUGCAUUAGACACAAUGCAAUUUCAGUUGCUGUCGAAUCUAUUAAAAUAUUGGACGCUCACAUUAUUCAGAUGCUUCCUUGCAUCUUUGACAAGAAUACCAAUAUAACCUGUUGCAAGGAAUGAUCCGACACCAGUCACCAAAAGAACAUUCAGAACCGGCAUUGUCGCAGUGACGAAGAGGUCUAAGAGGCCCAUUUUCUGUAUUUUUAUUACGAAGCCCUCCCGCCCUUACAGUGCAAUCGAUUCUGAUAUAUCAGUCCUUCAAUGCACAGUACUGCAGAUAAACAAAACAACAGUAAGUUUAUCACAACAUGCAACAUAGUGCAGACGAUACAAAAAUGAAAAGAUUACAUAAUGAAUUGCCCGUGAUAGAACUGAUUCCUAAAUGAAUCAGCUUUAUCUUUCGCUAUCACCAUCAGAUACCUACCUAUAGAUCAACUUAUGUUUCUUAGUAAAUGUAUAAGGAAAUAGAAACAUGACAUUAAAAAAAUAAUAAAAAAUAAAACUAUGAUUCGAGGAGUAAUUAACACAAGAAUGUUAACUCGAGCACAAGAGUAUAAAAAGUUCCAGCGAAGGUGAGAUUGUACUGAACUGCAGGAGAAAUAGGAAAUUAUCUACAAUUCACAAAAAACAAAUGGGCUUUUCUCCACAUGCAAAGCACAAAGAUUGUGCUCGGGCCACUGAUUGAGACUGUUGACCUAGAAAAACAGAGCGCAAGGUGAACUGUAUGCGGCCCACCUACCAUUCCAACCUCAAUAAAAUAAAGAAGCAUCUCGUGCACAAAAAGGAAGCAUCUUUUUUUAUGUACAAAAAUAACAAUACAAUUGGGAUUUGUUCUCAUAAAAAGCCACCAAUUUUACGUACCUGCGCAUUGACCCACCAAACUUAAGUAUACUUCUUCCUAAAGAAAUAUAAUAACUUUUUUCCUCUUAACAAUUUGCCACACAAAGUUAAAGAGGUUGAUUUCGUGUAAAACAGUUCACUAGAUCCCUGAAAUGAAAAAAUGGAUUUGGUGCAAAAACUCACCCAAAAAAAAUUACAUAUCUAGUGUACUCUUCUUCGCCGAAUCAAAAUAUAUGAUCCGAAUAAUAAUGAAAAGAAAGUGAGUGGGUUUUUUUUUUUAUUUUUCUUUGUUUCUUGUAUGAGUCAGAUGAAAGUUAAACUAUCAAACUACAUUUAGGGGAUUAUAAAAAAAAAGAAAAGAAAAAAAGAAGCAACAACAACACCGAAAUGGGCUUUAGAAUGCGAUAUCUAAUCCAACCAAAAAAAUUAUACAAUUAAAAAAUGCACGGUUAUGGAGAAGAAAAAGAAGAUGAGCAAAUACCACUUUUCCCUUACAAUACCACCACCGGAGAGAAAGGAGAGAGUUUUUUUCUUUCUUUUUUUUUGGUUUUGUAGUGUGGGGUGGUUCUCUCCUCAACAGCGUGUAUGUUUAUAUCACCGCUCUUGCGCUGGAAACAUUUUCGAGUCUCUACGGGGUUGCUGUUGUUGUUAUCGUUGUUAUUAUUAUUAUUUUUAUUUUUAUUAUUGGUUCCGUAAUUUAAGGUUUAAAAUAUUUUAAAAUACUUUAGUAUCUUUUUAGAAAUAGCUUGGACGAGACGCGAGUUAUUUUUAAAUAAAUGUACUAAUAAUAUUACUCCUUUUUGUCAAAAAUACAAAACUUUGAUGAUUUAAGCGAGUUCAAUAAUUUUAAUAACUUUUCAGCAAAUAAAAUAUAUCAACUAAUACCUACUUAAUUAAUAAAUAGUAAAUUAAAUUAAAUAAAUUUUUUAAAAAAAUUAAAAUA
Molecule: long non-coding RNA, 35758 nt
Filed under: Ananas comosus (pineapple)
Lineage: Eukaryota; Viridiplantae; Streptophyta; Magnoliopsida; Poales; Bromeliaceae
Description: long non-coding RNA (ACOM_LNC004641)
Source: RNAcentral